GCGAGCUGUCCGCUGUAGGAAUCGCAAUCUAACAUGACAGAAAACCACGAGCUAGGGAACCCCCUUAACCCCUCGAUGCAAAUCCCCCCCAGAGUUUAAAAAAUAUAAUGGGGAAGAAACAUGUAAUGUCAUUUUAAAGGCUAGAGUAGAGACUGUAACCUUAAAGUGUAAAAUAUUGCAAACUAUAACCAUAGCUAUUAAGUGAUUAAAACAGCAUGCCACAAAAUUGGCGGGGCAAGUAACAGUAACAAAGAAAGAGUUAAAAGAAUCAAAAGAAGCUACACAGAUCUGGAAUGCUCCCACCCCCCUUGCAGGGUGGCAAGCAGCCCAGAGACAACCAGCACAGGAACAGAAUAAAACAUUGGAAACAGCUGCAAGGAACCUACAAAAAAAACAUUUGCCAUCCCCUGUUAUAAAUAUUGGUGGCAAAGAGCAGGCUUUAGGUAGCUACCCUGUGCCUGAAGAAUGGGGACAGAAGUGGAAAAAGGUAGCCCUAGUAAAAUUAAAAGAUGGGGUCCACUGCAGUGCAACCACCACCUUAUGAUAAAAGCCAGGUUCUGGUAAAACCUAACCUGGGACCUAGACUGGUGCUUGUCAGAACGGGGCAAGUAAGUGCACAAAUGGAAAAAGUAGCACACAAUACUUUCACUGAAUUGGUAAAUCAAAUGAAGGAAAAAAUGGAACAGUUCACAGUGCACAUUACAAGACAGGAGCUGCGACUCAAUUGCAGGGGAGUGAAUAAAAAGGUAUUUCAAAGUCAAAAACUAAAAUUUAGCAGGUUAACACCUAGAAUUGAUGCAUUAACAUAUGGAGUUGCCCCAAAACAGUUAACUGCAGGAAAAAAGGGCACUACUGCAAUCUGUUUGGCAUGCAGACAAAAGCAACAGACACUGGGGGAACAAAUUCAGGUUUUACAAGAGCAGAUAAUUACCCCCACUCUCAUCUCAGAGCCAGGAUUAAAACCCAGGUGUGGUUUCCCAACUGCUUUGACCCAUGGAACCACACUCCGCACUCAGCUAAAAAUAUAACCUCCUUUCUCAAAUAUUUUUACAUACCAGUAUGUUUUCUUUUAUAUCCUUUAUCAGUUGUAACUUGCUGCUACUGCCUGGACCUUAAGAGUUAAUCUCUCUUGGCUCAAGUCUCACUACCUUCCUAGGUAGCUUUUCAACCCCCCACACUCCUUUUUCCCUGCCUCUCCUCACUUCAACUCUUUCUCUGUGUUAAAAGUUAUAGGUUUUACAGAAACCUCCAAAAGAUGAAGCAAUUGAAAACAGAACAAAACAAGAAACAAAAAGAAAAUAAGGUUUUUUUAUUUGUUAUUCAAAGGAAAAAUGUAAGGGGAAACCUCAACAUUAAGUUGCAUCCCACAGACCAAAGACACCGGAAAAUAUCAGUAUACAGUGAAGAAACUCCCAAGCAUCAAGAAAAGAAAAAUGAAGUGCUUUAUAAAUAAGAGACUGGUCAAAUACACCUCUAUCUACCAUAUAUGGACAAUUAAGUUAACAAUCAGCUAAAAACCACUAGCUGGACCAGGAUAAACUGUCAUUUAAUUUCAACUUGAUUAAUUGUGUAAAAACAACUGUAUUAUUGCUGUACUGCUGUAUUAUCGUUGUACUGCUGUAUUAUUGCUAUACAACAUUUACAAUGUGCAUAACUUUGCUAAACUGUUUAACCAACACACAGGUAAAAAUCAACAAAUGAAUGGCAGCAAUCAA
Molecule: non-coding RNA, 1715 nt
Organism: Chrysemys picta bellii (western painted turtle)
Lineage: Eukaryota; Metazoa; Chordata; Testudines; Emydidae
Source: RefSeq, a predicted model, not a curated record